RNAcentral lists this non-coding RNA (121 nucleotides) under Chromera velia. Lineage: Eukaryota; Chromeraceae. The record is from RNAcentral.
AUGGAAAGACAGUCAGAAAAGACAUGAAGGAAAAAAGGGGCUUCUUCAACCGUUCACUGUCUCCUUGUUCCCUCCUUUCCUUUCUGUCUUAUAAUUUUCUUCUUUUCCUUCCUUUUCUAUU